AUUGAACGCUGGCGGCAGGCCUAACACAUGCAAGUCGAGCGGAUGAAGGGAGCUUGCUCCUGGAUUCAGCGGCGGACGGGUGAGUAAUGCCUAGGAAUCUGCCUGGUAGUGGGGGAUAACGUCCGGAAACGGGCGCUAAUACCGCAUACGUCCUGAGGGAGAAAGUGGGGGAUCUUCGGACCUCACGCUAUCAGAUGAGCCUAGGUCGGAUUAGCUAGUUGGUGGGGUAAAGGCCUACCAAGGCGACGAUCCGUAACUGGUCUGAGAGGAUGAUCAGUCACACUGGAACGGAGACACGGUCCAGACUCCUACGGGAGGCAGCAGUGGGGAAUGUUGGACAAUGGGCGAAAGCCUGAUCCAGCCAUGCCGCGUGUGUGAAGAAGGUCUUCGGAUUGUAAAGCCCUUUAAGUGGGGAGGAAGGGCAGUAAGUUAAUACCUUGCUGUUUUGACGUUACCAACAGAAUAAGCACCGGCUAACUUCGUG
This 484-nucleotide ribosomal RNA is filed under the name uncultured bacterium. Its description in RNAcentral is "partial 16S ribosomal RNA". It matches the Rfam family "Bacterial small subunit ribosomal RNA", at positions 30 to 507 of the family's 1533-position model. The record is from RNAcentral.